Molecule: ribosomal RNA, 445 nt
Filed under: uncultured bacterium
Lineage: Bacteria
Description: partial 16S ribosomal RNA
Rfam family: Bacterial small subunit ribosomal RNA
Source: RNAcentral
GUGAGGAAUAUUGCGCAAUGGAGGCAACUCUGACGCAGCCAUGCCGCGUGCAGGAAGAAGGCGCUACGCGUUGUAAACUGCUUUUAACCGGGAAGAAACCCCAGGACGUGUCCUGGGUUGACGGUACCGGAGGAAUAAGCACCGGCUAACUUCGUGCCAGCAGCCGCGGUCAUACGAAGGGUGCAAGCGUUAUCCGGAUUCCUUGGGUUUAAAGGGUGCGUAGGCGGAGCGUUAAGUCAGUGGUGAAAUCCUGCAGCUUAAGUGUAGACUUGCCAGUGAUACUGGCGCUCUUGAGUGCGCUUGAAGUGGGCGGAAUGUGCCGUGUAGCGGUGAAAUGCUUAGAUAUGGCACAGAACACCAAUUGCGAAGGCAGCUCACUAAGGCGAUACUGACGCUGAGGCACGAAAGCGUGGGGAUCGAACAGGAUUAGAAACCCUUGUAGUCC